AAGGAUUCCCUUAGUACGGGCGACGGAAGCGGGAAAAGCCCAGAGUGGUAAUCGCCGGCCAGAGGUCGGGGAAUUGUGAUCUGAAGGUCGUUGGUCUAACGGGGGACGGCGCAGAAGUGCUCGCGAGAGAGCCGCCAGAGAGGGUGAGAGCCCCGUAUGUGGUGUUGUGCCCUACCGGACCGGUGGCUGAAGAGUCGUGUACUUUGAUACUAGUGCACAAAGCGGGAGAUAAACUUCUUCUAAGGCUAAAUAUAUGUAGGAAACCGAUAGCGAACAAGUACUGUGAAGGAAAGAUGAAAAGCACUUUGGAAAGAAAGUUAAAAGACUUGAAAUCGUUGAGGCGGACCCGGUAGAAAUGUAUGAUGCGACGGAGCCGAGGAAGGCCGCAUAGCGGGCGACACGGCGACGGCGGAAAGGCAAGAUGGGGUCGUGCGGUGCCAGAGGUAGUUUUGGAGGGAGCUUGCUCCAGCCAAGGCUGACCGGGUGCCGGGCGGCUCGAGGGGCUUAGUGCGAUCUUGUCAAAAUGGUUUUUACCGACUCGUCUUGAAACACGAACCAAGGAGUCUAAGACUGACGCGAGUGUGGUGGUGGAAAAACCAACACGCGAAAUGAAAGUAAAUGAUGCCAAGCGCAAGCAGCAGCAUCGACCGACCAUUUUCUUCUGGAAGAGGUUUGAGUAAGAGCGUCAUUCUUAGGACCCGAAAGAUGGUGAAACUAU
Molecule: ribosomal RNA, 718 nt
Filed under: Favella ehrenbergii
Lineage: Eukaryota; Ciliophora; Spirotrichea; Tintinnida; Xystonellidae
Description: LSU rRNA
Rfam family: Eukaryotic large subunit ribosomal RNA
Source: RNAcentral